ACUUACUCAAGCUAUCAUAGUUGCUGUAGCAUCUACUCCUAAUUUUCAGCCUAGUGGUGCUGAGGUAGAAAAGAGUUAUGAGAGGGCUAUAAAGUUAGGGGCAACAGAAUUUCAGGGUACUACAAACCCAAUACAAGCAGAAAAUUGGUUUCAAAAGUUGGAAAGGGUGUUCACAUUAAUGAAAAGUACUGAUGAGCAGAAGUUGAGUGUUGCCACCUUUCUGUUAGAGGGCCGGGCCCGAAAUUGGUGGUCAUAUGUUGAAAGGCAGUCGCAGGAAUCUGUAAUUUCUUGGACUGAUUUCAGUAGAGAAUUUUAUCAGCAGUAUUACUCCACUGUGUAUCGAGACUAGAAAAGAAGGGAAUUUCUGAAUUUGACUCAAGAGAAUAUGACGGUAGCUGAUUAUGAAGCAAGGUUUAGUGAAUUGUCUCAGUUUGCUCCAGCUUUUAUAGCAGAAGAAAAAGAAAAGUGUAGAUUAUUUCAAGAUGGAUUGAGGCUUGAUAUGAGGGCCAAAACAAGAAUGCAUGGCUAUAAUAAUUUCUCAGAAUUGAUAGAAGGGGCUAUCCGAGCAGAAGAUAUUGAAAGGGAGUUUUAUGGGCGGAGGCAGGAGAGGUUCAAGAGGAGUGCACAAAGUUUCUCCUUAGGUGGAGGGAGUCAUCAGCCACCAAGGAAGACUUUUGUGGUUGGGCAGCCUAAUCAAAAUUUUAGGAUGCCAGGAGAGUUAAGUAGAGAUUCAUUUGCUUUUACUAGUCUUGUACCUAGGAGACCAGAACAAAGAGCUGUACCACAGCCAGCAGAAAGUAGAGUUACUGGAAGAAGGGAGAAUCAAGGUAGCUUGAACAGGGGAGUUAGCCCAGUAACUACCUCAGUUAGUCAGAUUCCUCGGUGUAGGACUUGUGGAAAGUUAUACCGUGGAAUGUGUAGAGAGGGGUUCCAGGGAUGUUUCCGGUGUGGCCAAAUGGGCCAUCGGAAAAGAGAUUGCCCUAGGAAUGUUCAGGACAGUGGUCCUCCACCAAGAUCUUUUAUCUCACAAGAACUUCCAGUGAAGGGCAGUAAUUAUAAUGCUAGUACACCAACAAAUAGAGUGGAGACUAAUAUGAGCAGGCAGAACACUGUGCAGGGCCGAUGAAGAGCUGAGGCCAGAGUAUUUGCCAUGACAAGACAAGAGGCUCAGGCUACUCUUGAUGGGGUGACAGGUACAUUAUCUAUAUUUGAUCAUGAUGCAUACAUAUUGAUUGACCCCGGGUCUACACAUUCAUAUCUGUCACCAGCGUUUGCUAUGCAUACUGAUAAAAAUUUGAGUCUAUUAGACUGUAGUUUGAUGGUGUCUAUACCAGUGGGGGAGCCAUUUAAAGUAGAGCAUGUGUACCAAAAUUGUUCAGUACGGGUAGGUGAACAUGAGUUGGUAGCAAACUUGAUACCUUUAGAUAUGCAUGAUUUUGAUGCUAUUUUGGGUAUGGAUUGGUUAGCUGCACAUCGAGCCAAAGUAGAUUGUUUUAGGAAGGAAGUAAACUUUCACAUGUUAGAUGGCAGGGAGAUAUAUUUUUCAGGUGAACGCCGAGUGCUUCCCUCAUGUAUUAUUUCAGCUUUAGUGGCAAAUAUUUCCCUUAGAAAAGGGUAUGAUGCAUAUCUAGCCUGUGUGGUGAAUACAAAGACUAGUAAGCUGAACUUAGCAGAUAUUCCAGUGGUCUGUGAGUACCCAGACGUUUUUCCAGAAGAACUUCCGGGGUUGCCACCAGAUAGGGCAGUAGAGUUUGGUAUUGAUCUGAUUCCAGAUACCAGACCUAUAUCCAGGGCACCUUAUAGAAUGGCUCCAGUUGAAUUAAGGGAGCUUAAGACUCAGUUGCAAGAAUUGCUUGAUAAGGGUUUUAUUAAACCAAGUAUUUCACCUUGGGGGCCCCCCGGUGUUGUUUGUUAAAAAGAAAGAUGGUACUAUGAGGUUGUGUAUUGAUUAUAGAUAGAUUAAUAAAGUAACCAUCCGAAAUAAUUAUCCAUUGCCUCAUAUAGAUGAUUUGUUUGAUCAGCUCCAAAGAGCUAGAGUAUUUUCAAAGAUAGAUCUCAGAUCAGGAUAUCAUCAGCUUAAGAUCAAAAACGAGGAUGUAUCAAAGACAGCUUUUAGGACCUGGUAUGGUCACUAUGAAUUUCUAGUGAUGCCGUUUGGUCUAACAAAUGCUCCAGCGGCUUUUAUGAGUUUGAUGAAUCAAGUAUUUCAGCAAUACUUGGAUAAAUUUGUGAUUGUGUUUAUUGAUGACAUAUUAGUAUACUCCCAAGAUGAAGUAGAACACAGAGAACAUUUGAGGACUGUGUUGUAGGUGCUUCGAGAGAACGGCUGUAUGCUAAGUUGAGUAAAAGUGAGUUUUGGCUGGAUAAAGUGGGGUUCCUUGGUCAUGUGAUUUCAGCAGAGGGUGUAUUGGUGGAUCCACAGAAAGUGGAUGCUAUUGUGAACUGGGAAUCACCCACUAGUCAGACAGAGGUAAGAAGUUUUAUGGGUUUAGCCGGUUACUAUCGAAGAUUUAUUGAGAACUUUUCAAUCAUUGCCUCCCCAAUGACCAAACUGCUUAGAAAGAAUAUAAAAUUUGAAUGGACUGCUGAAUGUCAGAAAAGCAUGGAUGAAUUAAAGAGUAGGCUGACCACUGCUCCUGUGCUUGCCCUGCCUUCUAGUGAAGGAGGUUAUGUGGUUUAUAGUGAUGCUUCCCGCAAAGGGUUGGGGUGUGUGUUGAUGCAACAAGGAAAGGUAAUUGCAUAUAUUUUUCGACAACUUAGACCCCAUGAAUUGAAUUACCCUACACAUGAUUUGGAACUUGCUGCAGUGGUAUUUGCUCUCAAAGUGUGGUGACACUAUUUGUAUGGGGAAAAAUGUCAGAUAUUCACAGAUCACAGAAGUUUAAAGUAUAUGCUAACCCAGAAAGAGCUAAAUUUGAGACAGCGAAGACGGGUAGAACUUAUUAAAGACUAUGAUUGCACAAUUGAGUAUCAUUCUGGAAAGGCUAAUGUAGUGGCAGAUGCAUUAAGCCGGAAGUCUACAGCCACCUUGUCUCAUAUUAAGACGGUGUAUUUGCCAUUAUUGACAGAAUUGAGGAUGUUGGGUGCUGAGUUAUCAGUGGGAGAUUCUAAAGCCUUAUUGGCUAGUUUUCAGGUUAGACCUACAUUGGUGAAUGAAAUACAUACAGCUCAGACUCAGGAUUCACAAUUGGUAAAAAUUUUUGAGGCUGUUCAGAAUGGAUCUCGAACAGAUUUUAUAAUCAAAGAAAAUGGUAUUUUGAUGAAUGGGAACCAUGUUUGUGUUCCAGGGAUCGGUAAUCUUAGAAAACAAAUAAUGGAGGAAGCUCAUAGUUCGGCUUAUGCUAUGCAUCUAGGAAGUACUAAGAUGUACCGAACCAUUAAGCAAAGUUAUUGGUGGAAUGGUAUGAAAAGAGAAAUAGCUGAAUAUGCAUCUAAAUGCCUAGUAUGCCAACAGAUUAAAGCAGAACAUCAAAGUCCAGCUGGAAAACUGCAGCCACUACCUAUCACAGAAUGGAAGUGGGAACAUAUUACAAUGGAUUUUGUUUUGGGUUUUCCAAAAACAAGUAAAGGUAAUGAUGCAAUUUGGGUGAUAGUUGAUAGACUAACUAAAUCAGCUCAUUUCCUGCCUAUCAAGAUAGCAUUUGCAUUGGAUAGAUUAGCAAAGCUGUAUGUGGAUGAAAUCAUUUGUAGACAUGGGGUUUCUAUUUUAAUUGUGUCAGAUAGAGAUCCUAGAUUUACUUCACGAUUUUGGCCAAGUUUACAAAGAGCCUUGGGCACCAGGUUGAAUUUUAGUACUGCAUUUCAUCCGCAGUCUGAUGGACAGUCUGAAAGAACUAUUCAAACUUUAGAAGAUAUGCUACAGGCAUGUGUGAUAGAAUUUUUAGGUAGUUGGGAUGAAUACCUACCAUUAAUGGAGUUUGCAUACAACAACAGUUAUCAUUCCAGUAUAGGCAUGGCACCUUAUGAGGCCCUUUAUGGUAGAAAAUGCAGAACUCCAGUAUGUUGGGAUGAAGAGGGAGAAAGGAAAUUGUUGGGCCCAGAAAUAGUACAGAUCACCUCAGAUCAGAUAAAAUUGAGUAAAGAAAGAUUGAAGGUAGCCCAGGAUAGACAGAAAAGUUAUGCAGAUCCAAAACGGAAAGAUGUAUAUUUUAGUGUAGGAGAUAAAGUUUUUCUCAAAGUUUCCCCUUGGAAGGGUAUACUGAGGUUUGGAAAGAAAGGAAAAUUAAACCCAAGGUUAUCCGGGCCAUAUGAAAUAAUAGAAUGUAUUGGGCCAGUAGCGUAUCGCUUGGAACUACCACCAGAACUCUCCCAGAUACAUAAUGUGUUUCACAUUUCAAUGUUGAGAAAAUAUACUUCAGAUCCCUCUCAUAUUUUGUGGUCUGAACCAGUUGAAUUAAAAAGAGAUUUAUCUUAUCCAGAGAAGCCAGUGCAGAUUCUGAGUAGAGAAGUGAAACAGUUGCCCAAUAGAGUUAUACCCCUAGUUAAAGUGCUCUAGCAGAAUCAAAAUGCAGAAGAGGCUACUUGGGAAAGAGAAGAUCAAAUGAGAAAAAAAUAUUCAUAUAUAUUCCAGAUUUCAGGUAACUAAAUUUCGAGGACGAAAUUUUUUUUUUGUAGGGGAGAAAUGUAACACUCUGAAACAGGGUUAGGGUAGCUUAAGUAAUUUUUACUAGUUAUUAAGCAUUUUCAUGAUUUUAACCUAGUUUAUUAUAAGAAUCCGAAUGCACAUGAAAGGUGAGGGAAUAUCAAAAAUUUUGUGAUGCAAAUUGGAUUGGAAUUUCCCAGGAAGUUUGAUUCAAAAUCAAUUCAAAAAGGUCGGAAUUUCAGCUGUUACAGAAAAUUUUACGGUUCCACGGAUUGAGAGUGCAAUAACUCUGGAUAUAGUCCAUGAAUCUAAGUAAAAUUUUAAACACAUAAUCUGCAUUGAGUGAGGGAUUUACUCUUGAAAUUUCAGCUCAAACGGAUUAGCCUACAGCCUGGAACAAAACAAGUUAGUUGAGUCCCUCGGAAGCCUGUCAUUACAGAAAACUGUAGACCUAGAUUUGUCCAAAAUUUUAGUAAAAAGUAGGAAGCAUGACGUGGCCUGAAACCUAGUUUUUAAAACCCCUGGGAACCACUCUUUUGACUCGUUAGGUAUCUGGGAAGCUAACGUGUCAAGAAGGGGGGGGGUGUCUAGCGUGUUUUCAGCAGGCAGCAACUUAUGCUGCUGCUGUUCAACCGUUAGGAGAAGUUUAGUUGUUGGUUGUAGGUGCCAGCCCAAAUCAGGCCAGGAAAAGCUCCAGGGAGGGAGAGAGGAAGCUAGGGAAGAGAGAGAGCUACUUGGGGAAUCCAAAGAAUUUGUGGAAGAAGGUUUAAAGAAAAGAGGAAGAGCAACUUGCUGUUGGGCUGCAGAACAGAAAUACAGAAAUUCUGGUGCACCCAGGCUUCCCAGCGAAUUUUAGGAGGAGAAGAGAGUCCUGGAAGUGUGCCAGGAGUAUCAAGCACUAGGGUGGUGCAUUAGCCAUCACAAGGAUAUGGAGUAUUCCUGAGCUGGUCGAAGUAAAUGGAGAGGCUUCAUCUGUGGAAGGUAUCCAAAGGAAACACUCAAAAGUUUCUAUGAAGUGUGAAAAGAAGGAAACCUCUGUUCGUGCUGGAGAUAUUCUUAGUCAAGUUUCGUUGACUCAUGAUGUAAUCAUAUCUAGAGACUUGAUCGUACGGGAUUGGGGGAGUGCGUUAGAAUUUUCGACGAUUCCUUCAGUUAGAUUAGCUUGGACAUUUGAAUUAUGCUGGCAUAUGCUAUUUUGAAAUUUUAUAAGACUGUUUUUGAAUAAACGACUUAAUUAUUGAUUGGUCCUUUAGUUAGAUUAGCUUGGACAUUUGAAUUAUGCUGGCAUAUGCUAUUUUGAAAUUUUAUAAGACUGUUUUUGAAUAAAUGACUUAAUUAUUUAUGUCAAUUUUAAGUAUUUAUAUUCGCUUCGAUAUGAUCAGCUGCCUUGCACACCUGUGCGGCCCGCCGUGCGGGCGUGCGGCGUCUGUCGUGCUCCGGGCUCGGGGCGUGACAGAUUUGGUAGUAUCAGAGCUCAGAUUUCAGAUUCCUAGGGAUUGUGUUUGAAACAGUCAUAUUUGAGCCUAAGUUUUAAGAUCCUAGGAUUCGUUGAAAAGUUUGAGAGAUGGGUAGGAAUGAGGAAAUGAGACACAAAUUUUGUUUGCUUUUGAUAUUGGUAAAUUUGUGUUAUUUUAUCUGAAUUUUAUUUGUCAUGCUUAUUAAAAGCCGAAUGCUAGCUAACUGUGCUAGUAGCCAAAGUGUGAAUAAAUUAUUUUGAGAGAGUUUUCUUGAUGGAGUAAUUUGCAUUUCAGGUUAUGAUUAAAUAAGAUUUUGAUAAAAUUAAGUGAAGGAUUAUUAACCAUGGAAUAUUAUUUUACAUUGUAAAUUAUUAGCUUAUUUGCUAUAUAAGUGAAUUUGGAAGUUUAACUUUAUAUUGGGUACUGUGAUGUUACUUCUAGCUUGAAGUCAACUAUUUUGGUGAGAAGUUAAGGUUCGUUCAUAAAAAGUUGUUAAUAUUUGAAUUUGGAAAGAUUUUAUUAUAUUUAUUAAAAUAUUUUUUUGAGGUUAAAAAUCUAUAUAUGGAUCAUACAUGAAACUUUUACAUAUAAGAAAAAUAUAUUUGGGAUGAGACUUAAAGAAUUCUAAUCUGGCUCUACAUGAGACUUGAAACAAUUAAGAUUGAUAUUCUGUUGGAAAGUCAAUUAGUAAAUCUUGAGAAUAUUGGUGGAUUAAAAUGUUUUUGGGUUGGUCGAAAAUAGGACUUGUUUGAUUUGGAAAAGUUCUUGAUGCUUUCCUUUUUAAGAAGAAAAAAAAUCAUUGAAAAGUAUAGGAUUUUGAUCGAUAUGGAUAUCAUUGUGUUAUUAGUAGAUUCUCUAAGUCUAGUAGAUUUACAAGAUCUCGAAAUGUUUGUAGUAUUGCAAAUAAAACUAUUUUACUUAUUUGAGGAAUUGAUCUCAAUGUAAAAUUAUAGAGCUUAUAUCUUGGUGGAAUUUCUUGUAAAUCUUUGAACUAGAUUAUUAGAUUCUUGUGAGUUAAAUAUUUAUAAAUCAAGGCCAUGAGUUGAUUAUGGAUUUUGUAUCACCACAUGAGAAAUGCAAGUGGGCUUUCAUGAGAGGCCCUAAUAAGUUUAGCCUAAAAGAAAAGAUUCGGGAUGAUUGAGUAGGCUCCUGAGUAAGUUAAUCUAGAAUCUUUUAAUUAUCGAAGCUUAGAAUAAACAUCAACUUGUAUAAUGGAAUUGUCAAGGGAAACUAGAAUUGGCUUAGUUCAAAUUUGGAUCUAGAAUAUGAUUACUUGAUCAUAUGAUGGUACAAAUACGACAACUAUCUCAAAGGUUAAUCAUGACUUAGUGUACUUGGGAAGCAAGGAUAAAAUUUUGCUUGGAUAUUAUAAAAAAAAAUGUUGAUCUGGGAUCAUUAAGAAAUUUUGGAGAAUAUUGAUCAGAGUUGCGCAACGAAAGUAUGAUGGACUGAAUCAAUUUAAACUGGUCAAAAAUAUUGACUGUGUUUUGGAAACAUGUUAUGAUGAAGGACUAUGUUGUUCAAUAAUGAAAGAUUUUGUUAAUAAGGGAAGGUGAAUACUAUUGAUGCUCAGGUCAAUCAUGAUAUGAUUAUGUUAUCUCUUGGAUAGACUUUGCCAUUUUUGGGUAUGUUAAGAAAAAUUUGAGUAUAUCAUGACCAGGAUUGGUUGAUCAUUGAUUAAAUAUGGUCUAAUUUGUUAUGUAUCUGAAUAAAGCAUAAAGCAUGCAUUAUUUGCUCCCAUCUUAUAAUUUAUAAGUUAAAAGCUUUGUGGCAUAUUGAAUCACGAUAUCAAUACUCUGCUUUCUCAAAUUUGCUCUUGUGAUUUGAUGCCAAUCAUUUUCCAUAUAGACCAUUGUUGCCUGAUAACUAUCAUUACAUGUUCAUUUUGUGAAUCACAUUCCAAACUAUAUAAUAAUUUGACUCUACGGUUGGUCAUUAUCCUUUGUGGAAUCAGCACACUACCAUGAUAAGUGUAUGAGAUCUAUUUCAUUUCAAGUUCUACCCCAAAUACAAUUCAUUUUAUCGAUCCUGUUGUGAAACGAUCCUGAUCUGAUCUCGAGUGAACAUGCAUCAAGAUGAUAAUUUCAAUUUGAGAUUUUAGUUAGUCACUUAUCUAGUGCUAAUCUUGUGAGUUUAUAUGAAAUUUUUGAUAAUUGAUCUAAAGCUAUCUAUCACACUGAUUUUGAUCGGAAAAAAAAAUGAGAUCUUGGAUUUAUAUAACUCAAUGGGCUGAACAUCUUUAAAGUUGGAAGGCCAACAUUCUUCAAAUUUCGAGGACGAAAUUUUUUAUAAGAGGGGGAGAAUGUGAGAUAACGCCCCUUUUGGAAGGGGCCAAAGUAGGGGAUCGCUGUGCGAUCCCUUCCGGCUUCUUCGGGAGUAGAGACAUCGUGGGCAACCUGCGGCUGCAUCGCGGUCGCCCGCGUCUAUCCUGCGGCCGCACGAGCGGCCGCUGAUUUCGCCCCCACCGUGAUUCCCGCGGUGGAGAGCCGUUGAAAUGGGGUGAUAAAAACCUCCAUUUUCUCCUCCUGAAAUCACCAACCGAGCCUUCUCCUCCUUCCUCACCUCCGGCCACCGCCUUGAGAUCUGAUAAGCUCUCUUUCCCUUCUCCCUCUCUGUUUCUUUCGAGCCCUGUUCUGAGAUUUGUAUCGCCAUUGGAAGCACCCACCAAACGCCGCCGCCGCCGCUUGACUGUCGGAUCGAGCGGCCGCGGUCGAGAUCUCCCUCCCACCGCCACUGCCAUCGCUGGUAAGCUCCCUCCGCUCUUCGAUUUCAAGCUUAAUUAUGCUAUAUUUUCCCUAUUUCGGCCCCAUAAACUGAGACCUCAUUUCUUUCUCGACCCCUGAGGAUCCUAGUGUGAUUUUGAUGUUUACAAAGCCAUUAAGGUCAAAUGGACAGACUAAUGCUUUUAAUUCAAUUGAUCUAAUACAUAAGUAAGUAAGGAAGAAAGAUUUGAUACAUCCUUGAUACGCUUUACUUGAUAUAUUUAAAAGAACUUUCAAGAACACAUCUAAAACAAAUUAUAUUGGAAGAACUUGAGGAAAGAACUAAUUUAGAGUUUAAUAUACCUUAGAGUCAAGUUCUUUUGAUUGAAGCUUAACUCUGUCAUUUACAUGCUUAAUGAGCUUAAACUUUAAUGUGUUAAGCAUCCUAAGGAGUAAGAAAUGAUUUGCAAUGUUGUUACUUCUUUUAUAUGUUUAAUGUGCAAAUCUAACCUAAAGAUGCAGAAAAACAGGGUUAGAGUCGACCUCAGAAGAGAUGGAGUCGAUCCUGGCACAAUUUGGCACAGAUCUCAGGUCGACCCCAGAAAAGCUCGGGCCGACCCCAGCUCGGGUCGACCCCAGCUUCAGCCAUCUGAAAAUACAGCCUUCUGGAAUUUCUUGAGAGGGCCGACCCCAAGUUUCCUUGA
Molecule: RNA transcript, 9445 nt
Organism: Phoenix dactylifera (date palm)
Lineage: Eukaryota; Viridiplantae; Streptophyta; Magnoliopsida; Arecales; Arecaceae
Gene name: beta-1,6-galactosyltransferase GALT31A
Source: RefSeq, a predicted model, not a curated record